Long non-coding RNA from Odontomachus brunneus, 467 nucleotides. RefSeq lists it as uncharacterized. The record is from RefSeq and is a predicted model, not a curated record. The transcript has 3 exons. NCBI's taxonomy places the organism in Eukaryota, Metazoa, Arthropoda, Insecta, Hymenoptera, Formicidae.
CCUCACUUCACCGCCAUGUUGCAAAAUCGAGAUCCGCGAUCCCAUCAUGCCACGCAGCUUCGUCAUAUGACAGCGCCGUCGCGCCGACCAAUAGUGGCCAGCGACGCAUGCGCGCCGAGCGCUUUCGCGACCCAACUGCCGCCAAUGCGGAGCUCGCGCAGCGUUCGAAUGCCGUCGUUCCUCGCAAAGGAGAAAUUCGUCACAGGCUCGAGGAACGACGCGCGAUAUUUUGCGGCAUCGUAUCGCGCUGCUCUGGACAAAGAUUGCGCCUGCCAUGCGUUUACACAAACCUCCUUCCUUAAAUACAAAAUGCAAUGUCGGUAUGGAGGAGAUUGCCGGGAGAAUUUCGUCUAUAUCUUCUUUCAUGUGUGAUAUGUGAAGCGCGCGGCGGAGACGAGUCGACCAGAAGAGUCCGCGACGACAUGAAGUGGUCCCGCAAUCUCGCUCGCGGAAAGAUUCGGUUCAUC